This 72-nucleotide transfer RNA is filed under the name Actinomycetota bacterium. Its description in RNAcentral is "tRNA-Ala". It matches the Rfam family "tRNA". Rfam says of the family: Transfer RNA (tRNA) molecules are approximately 80 nucleotides in length. Lineage: Bacteria; Bacillati; Actinomycetota. The record is from RNAcentral.
GGGCCGUAGCUCAGUUGGCAGAGCGCGUCCAUGGCAUGGACGAGGUCGCGCGUUCGAUUCGCGUCGGCUCCA